Molecule: unclassified non-coding RNA, 220 nt
Filed under: Hevea brasiliensis (rubber tree)
Lineage: Eukaryota; Viridiplantae; Streptophyta; Magnoliopsida; Malpighiales; Euphorbiaceae
Source: RNAcentral
AUACCUUUUAAAAUUGCUUCUGUUGCAGCUAAUUUGAUCAUUUUUUUUUCUUUUUACAUGAAAGAGUUUUCAAUGAAACUUCGAUUCGGGAUCGGAUCGUGAUCAUGUCUACCUUAGCCCAUACAAUAUUGUGAAACUUUUUCUGCACUAUGUUUUGACUUUUAAAAUUUGAUAAUUUUUUCCCUUUAAUAAAGUUAAUAAGAUUGGACUUUGGUUUCUA